RNAcentral lists this transfer RNA (70 nucleotides) under Sphaerodactylus townsendi. RNAcentral describes it as "tRNA-Ala". Lineage: Eukaryota; Metazoa; Chordata; Lepidosauria; Squamata; Sphaerodactylidae. The record is from RNAcentral.
GUCUGUGGCUCAGUGGUAGAACUUCUGUUUUGCAUGAAGAAGGUCCCAGGUUCAACACUUGGCAUCUCCA